UGCAUAUGAUGCAUUUGUAAGCCUUUGUAUGCAUGUGUGUACCCAUAUAUGUGUAUGAACUUUCGGAUCAAAUUGUUUGAUUCGAAGAGCUCAAUUCAUCUAAUAAGGAUCGGAGUCGCACCGGUGUUUCCUUCGAGCAUUGGCCGCUAGCACCGUUGAUCUCGAAGACUCGUCGACGAAGUCGGUGUGGAUACCGGUAGAGGCGUCAUGCGUGGGACGCUCGAUCGACAGUUUAAAAGAUUUCAGGUCUCAUUAGGGAGCGGAGAACCGAGAUUAAACGUCAGAAAAGGAAAAAGUGCGAGAAGUUAACGUAAGAGACGGAAACAUAAAAUGCGGUAUUUAAGUAUAUAUGCAUAUACGUGCGAGAAAUGAAGAAAGGGAGAGGAAAUGGGUUCGGGCCCGAGCUAGGGAGCUUGAAUCCGAGCUGACCAGCAAGCUCCAAGUGGAGUUCUACCUUUGUUCGAGUUGAUUUUCGGAAACAACAAGCUUGGACGAUGGAAAGAGUUGUGAAGAAAUCAAGAGCGAAGGGCAAUACCCCUCCACCAAUUGGGCCAUAGAUGCUCCAGCACCAGAUCUUUUCAUCCUACUCGAGGACUGGCAUCUACAGCAUGGGCUAGGACCCCAUCACAGUCUCAGCUCCUCGGAUCCCCGAUACAGAUCAACCAUCGAUCCCUCAGCAACUGCAACCGGAAGCUCAAUAAUUGCCCACGAUUCCCCUAGAAGCGCAAGAAGGAGACAAAGCCCAACAAGGGGCCCAACUGUAACGGGUCCCUAUUGAUCGAUCAUCUAUAGAGUCGAGUGGGGGAACAAGCAUGGACCAUAGGACCGAAUUGCACAAAGAGUUACCUGAGGGGUUCUGGCAGUCGAAGGAAGGCUUUGGUCCGAUGGUGGAAAUAUUAACACAGAGAUUAUGAGCCUUGGGCUAGAUGAUUUGAUAUUCUUGAUGAGACGUUGGACUUGUGGUUUGCAUUGUGGAAGUCUCUGGAAUACCACAUCAAUAAGGCCUUCAAUGCUCGAGGGUCAAAGCAUAUGAGGCAGCUGAUGGCCAUUCUUCGUGCCAAAGGGAAAAGGCCAAAAUGGAUUUCGGAGGAGCAUUCGAUGAAGAUUUGAGAUUUCUUGCAAAAAGAAGAAUACAAAAAGGUUUGUGCGAAAAAUAAGGAGAAUCAAGCUUCGGUCAAGGGGGGUUCAUUGCAUAAGGGAGGAUGCAUUACUCCCACUAUCUCACAAGCUAAUAUGGAGAAGAAAUGGAGACGGCGAGUUAGUCUGGUGGAGUUAUUCAAGGAGCUCCACAAGAAGAGGGAUGGUACCUAUGUGGAGCCAUAGGAAGAAAAAGCUAUGGUGAUUAAGGUUUUCUAUUGUAUCUAUAUAAAAUACUAAAAGCCGGGUCAAAGCAUUGGGAAGCCUCACGUGACCCUUUGUCUGACUGCCAUUACCCAUACCAUAAGUGGCACAAUAUUAUAUUGCCCAUUUCACGAAAUCGAAAUUUAUUGCAAUCAUGGAAGACGAAAAGAUUAAUAUAAUAGAUUUAUUAAACUAUUCAUAUUUUAAAUGGUGAUUUACAUUUCAGUUGAGACAUUUCCACGAAAAUAUUAGAUAUCUAGGAAAAUAUACAAUAUUAGUCAACCAAAAUGUUUAAUAGAAACUGUAAUGAAGAUAAAAUCAUUUUUAUAGAGUUAUAAUAGUAAUUUUAUUGAUAUCCAACAGAAAAAUAAUAAUUUUAUUAAUUAUUGAAACCAUGCUAGCCUGCGAAUAUGCGUAGGUCUGUUCAACUAGUUGAAGUUAAUUUGUGGUGGCAUUUAGGGAUUCUUACAUAUAUGUUUUCGAGCCUAAUCUUUUUAUUGUAGGUGGAUUUCGACAAGUUGAAUACUUCCCAGGAGGAGGAUGAAGAGGGCCCAAGUGGUCUCGCUAAGCUUGACCUUAGGACGAAGGCCGUGGGAGGCUCUAACAAGAAGGGACAGAUGUAUGGGUUAAAGCAUCUCAACCUCUUCGAUAUCCCGGGCUCCUCGCACUUCAUGGAGCGAGACGCCGAACGGAUGAGGACACACACCUCUCUAUUGGAUGCAAAGAUAAGAGCCAACGUGCAGGAGGAGAUUGCCAAUGUAAGGGCGGUGUAAGUACCCCUUUUUGGCCCAGGCCUGGUCACUAACAAAAAAGAAUCCCCAAGCACUUUAUUAGCUGCGUAGCAGACUCAAACGGAAGAACAUGCAUAGGAUUAAAACUCAGAAGACGGUUUUGAAGACACAUAAGAUAAGUCCUCGAGUGCUAUCCUCAAGUAACUUUUUUAUUUUUGGUGUCAUUUUUGGAAUAAUACGGUGGUUGGCAAUAUUUUUCUCAGGAUUUGCACGUGAGAAAAUCAAUUUCCUAGAAUAACAUGGAAUUCCUUGAGAUUUUUAUUUUAAACCUGACUAUUCAUAUUUUUCCUUAAAAUCGACACCUCAGUUAUUCUCAAUUGAUAAACGAAAUUCAAAUGCUUUAAUCGACACCUCAAUUAUUCUCAAUUGAUAAAAAAAAUUCGAAUACUUUGAUUAUCACGCUUUAUCAAAUAGAGGAAGGGUUCAAAAUAGAGGAUUCUAUAUUCUCACAUAGUGAAAAAAUAUUCAUUUUGGUGUUUCAGUCAAGAAAUCAUUUUAUGAAACUAAAAAUAUUUUAUGGUGAAUUUUCUCAGCUCAAAAGUACUAUAAAGUCUUCAAAAUGGGUAAAAAUGAAGUUCUUCGAUAAGUUUGAGGACGAACACACUAUUAUUUCCGAUAAAAUCAAUUCAGUUCGAAGUAAUUGAACUAAGUUCCAAGAAAUCGCUAAAUUUAGGACGUCGACAUGGUUGAAAACCGCGCCUGGAGCCCUGGGCACGGUUUGGAACAGCACCCAAUGGCCAGCUGGCCAUCCUCAUCCAGAUGGCUAGCUGGCACGUGUUUGACCUCUAACAAAUAUCCCUUCAUUUUGAUCAACAGUUUACGAAAUUGCGAAAGGACCUCCGACUCCCCUUUCUCUACAAAUAUCGGGUCAUUUUCAAAAGAAAAGACCUUUCGGCAAACUUCAUGUGCUAAGCCUUCGCCAAAAUACCCCAAAAUUCAAUUAAUACACCUAAGCUCAUAUAUAUUUAGUAGGAUUUUCAAGAGCUUAAGCCCGGUCUUGACAUUUCUAAGGUCGGAGAUCCGAGCUAUUGCCCAAACUAAGUUAAAGGAGGAUUUAUGCCUCUGGUCUGACUUUGAAUCGAGCUUCCUUUCUCGCAUUUGCGUCGGGAAUCUCUUAUUUUACGCAUUUCAUAGCUAAAUAUGCUAAUAGUAGUUAAUUGUGCUUGAUUAGUGCCCAAACUAUGAUUAAUCGAGUAGUGGCAUGCUAAUUAGGUUCAAAUUUGGCUAAAUUUGUCCUAAUUACUCUCGGGUCUUUACUGUGCAUGUGGUAUCCGAGUCCAAUUCGUAAUUAAUUGAGUCGAUUGGAGCCUCAAUCGCAUGGAGUUGGAUUUUAAUGACACCUUGCUAGGAUUAGUUCUAUUUGUGUUUAAUUAGGCAAAUUGAGCAUGCAUUGAACUCUUUAUCCUCUGUUACAUUUUCGUUGUCAUGAUAAAGUAGGCUUAGAUGAGUCGAUUUGGUGAUUUAUGGCUCAAUUUGGCUUAAUCUCGCAUGAUAAAGGUCUAAUUAGGGUAUUUGGGUCUUGAUUAUGGUGAAUUAGGUUCGAUUGCUUCAAAUUGGCGUAUGAAAUGUUGAAUGUGUGUUCGGAAGCCCUGGGAUGAGCUGGAGUUGAGUGGGAUUAAGAUGCAAUCGAAGUCAAUUUGUGCACAAUUCAGUCUGAUUAGGUGGAAUUAGCUUAGAAUUGACUUAAUUAGUAUUCCGCCUCUAAGAAUUUGUCCAAUUUGUGUGAAUUUGGUGUCAAUAGGCUCAAUUAGUGGAAUUGUACAUUAUAUGAGUAUAUGUAUAUGUGACCGACUAUGUAUUUGGUGUCUAAGUGUCAAAAUUUGGUUCAAUUAAUCAAUUGAGGUCCAAUCUUGUUAAUUCAUGUACAUUUGACGUUAAUUCAUGGGGUUCAAGAUUAAUCACCCACUUAGUACAAAAGUCUUAGGUUUAAUCGGAGAAGAUCCUAGUGGUCUUGAGGGUAGGAUUCUUAGAGUCGGGAUUAAAUUGUGAUCGAGUCCUCACUUGGUGAAAAAUUGAAAUUGUUAGAAUAAGUGUCUGAUAUUUGUGAUAAUUGGUCAAUUGGAAUCAAACAGGUCAAUCACUUAAAUUUGAUAGUUAGUCCACGAGGUUGGGGAUAAGGAACUCAUUUUAAGUGUUCUAGGAUCUAAAUUGAAUGUCAUUCUUGACAUUGAGUGCUUUACGACUUUUUUUUAGAUUUUUGGGGAAUUAACGGAUAAUCAUGUAAAUUUAGCCCAAUUAAAUGGGAAUAAAUUGGAAAAGAUAAAACUUGUAAAUAAAAAGAGUACACUUAGGAAAUUCACUUAGAUUUUUCCUAGACUAAGGGCUUUAGGCCCACCCUCAUGCUUUUGGGCCUUGGACCCGCUUUGUAGGUCCACUUAGUUCAUUUUCCUAGACUAAGGGCUCUAGGCCCACCCUCAGGAUGUAUGUGAAUGAAUGUGACUAUGGACAUGGUGUAUGAAUGGAUGUAUGCAUCAUGUAUGUAUGGUAUGAAUGCAUAUGGGCAAAUGUGAAUGUAUGAUGGCCCAUCUUGUAAUUAUUGUACAUAUAUACAUAAAUACACGGGUAAGACUAUCGAACUUAGGAUAAAACAAUUGGACUUUAAAUUAAUCUUAAAAUUGACAAGUUAGUGAAUGAACCGGAGCAUUGGAUACCAAUUCGGGCGGAACUAUUGCUUGCGAGCGGUAGGAUCGUAAUAGAGCCUCCAGACUAGGAUCACUAGUUCAAAGACCAGCAAACUAUAAAUUCAUAGGAGGUUAGUAUCUUGGCCCAUAGUGGAUUGAUAGGUGGAUUACCGGCCUAUGAAAAUGAUUAGUGCCGACUCCAAACUAGUCCCGAGCAAUUGGACUAAUCUAACCCCAAGUCGGGUUGGGAUUUUCCCUCCGAUUGGUGGUAUUGCAGGAAAUUCUGUCAGAGGAGAGAGCCGGACCAGAUAGUAGAAUGGAGAAGAUGGUGAAGAAGAUAAAGAAACAGUAUCAGGCAAACAAGGAAAGGUUUGUCUCCAUGGAGAACAAGAUGGAUCCAGACUCUAACUUGAUGACGCAACAGUUCAAAAACUUGAAUAAGAGGUUGAAGAUUGACGAUAGCAGCUCCCCGGGUAAGGAGAAGAAGAAGAAGCUGGAGUGUUCCCGAGAGGAGGACGAUCAGGACGGGGAUGCCUCCGACAAUGGUGGGGAAUUAGCAAGUACUUUGAUGAUGAAACGGAAGAGAACUAGUCAUUUAUUUGAAUUUACUAGCUAGUUUAUAUUUUGUUUGCUAAAACUUGAUCUGACUAUUACUAUGUUAGUUGAAACUAUAUGUCUGCAUUUUGGAUUGAUGUCUGCUUGAAUCUAUAUACAUUUGGAUUGCAUUGGGUUUUACUGUA
Punica granatum (pomegranate) is the source of this 5493-nucleotide non-coding RNA. Lineage: Eukaryota; Viridiplantae; Streptophyta; Magnoliopsida; Myrtales; Lythraceae. The record is from RefSeq and is a predicted model, not a curated record.